UGGGGAAUAUUGCACAAUGGGCGCAAGCCUGAUGCAGCCAUGCCGCGUGUGUGAAGAAGGCCUUCGGGUUGUAAAGCACUUUCAGCGGGGAGGAAGGCGGUGAGGUUAAUAACCUCACCGAUUGACGUUACCCGCAGAAGAAGCACCGGCUAACUCCGUGCCAGCAGCCGCGGUAAUACGGAGGGUGCAAGCGUUAAUCGGAAUUACUGGGCGUAAAGCGCACGCAGGCGGUCUGUCAAGUCGGAUGUGAAAUCCCCGGGCUCAACCUGGGAGAUGCAUUCGGAAAUGGGAGGCUAGAGUCUUGGAGAGGGGGGUAGAAUUCCCGGUGUGGCGGUGAAAUGCGUGGAGAUCUGGAGGAAUACCGGGGGCGAAGGCGGGCCCCUGGACAAAGACUGAGGCUCAGGUGCGAAAGCGUGGGGAGCAAACAGG
RNAcentral lists this ribosomal RNA (429 nucleotides) under Chloroflexota bacterium. Its description in RNAcentral is "Chloroflexi bacterium partial 16S ribosomal RNA". It matches the Rfam family "Bacterial small subunit ribosomal RNA", at positions 355 to 776 of the family's 1533-position model. Lineage: Bacteria; Bacillati; Chloroflexota. The record is from RNAcentral.